RNAcentral lists this ribosomal RNA (500 nucleotides) under uncultured bacterium. RNAcentral's name for it is "bacterial SSU rRNA". It matches the Rfam family "Bacterial small subunit ribosomal RNA", at positions 899 to 1397 of the family's 1533-position model. The record is from RNAcentral.
ACUCAAAUGAAUUGACGGGGGCCCGCACAAGCAGCGGAGCAUGUGGUUUAAUUCGAAGCAACGCGAAGAACCUUACCAGGGCUUGACAUCCCAAUGACGGGUAUAGAGAUAUACCUUUUCUUCGGAACAUUGGAGACAGGUGGUGCAUGGUUGUCGUCAGCUCGUGUCGUGAGAUGUUGGGUUAAGUCCCGCAACGAGCGCAACCCCUAUUAUUAGUUGCCAUCAGUUGAAGCUGGGCACUCUAAUGAGACUGCCGGGGAUAACUCGGAGGAAGGUGGGGAUGACGUCAAAUCAUCAUGCCCCUUAUGUCCUGGGCUACACACGUGCUACAAUGGCCUGAAACAAAGGGAAGCGAAGGCGUAAGUCGGAGCGAACCCCAUAAACCAGGUCCCAGUUCGGAUUGUGGGCUGCAACCCGCCCACAUGAAGUCGGAGUUGCUAGUAAUCGCGAAUCAUCAUGUCGCGGUGAAUGCGUUCCCGGGCCUUGUACACACCGCCCGU